GGAGGCCGCCGGGCUGCGCCGCGCUCCCCGCUGCGGCCGCUGGGGGCCGGGCAGCGCCGCGGGGCGCCUGGCCCGGCAGAGGGACAGGGAGGGUCCCCGGCACGAAACCGAAGGGACUUCGCGGUUUCCCGGGGCGAGCGGGGUCAGGCAGCGCUGCGGUCGCACCGGUGCACGGACCCCCCGCCUGGGCCCAGCCUCUCCGCUCCGCCUCGGGGCUCUGCGGGGGCCGGCAGCCGCCGGAGCGCGGCCCUGCGCGGCGGCCGGAAGGGGUUCGCCGCCGGCCUGGGAAGGCAGGGCCCGCAUGUCGCCCCCGCCGGGACGGGCCUAAGCCCCGCGGGGGUUUCACCGCUUCCCCGCGGGGCCUGGCUGGCCGAGGAGCCGAUCUUAACUUUUCUGAAACAAAUAUUUAGAAUUGUUGCUUCCAAUACUGGUGAAGAACUAGGUAAGACUAGAAGGUAAAGCUGGUGGCUAAAGGUGUGGAAUUUGGGCCUGGAUGUCAUUUAUUGCUCAAGGGAUACGACAGAUGAAAACUCAACUGUGUGAUGACAGAGUUGUGAUGGAGAACAGGCAGAAGUUGGUGCUGGGAGCCUCUGUUGACAAGCUCGAUGCUGGCAGCUUGGGCCUGAUGAUGAUUCAUUGAUGAUCAAGUGCAAUGAACAGCUCCAUCAUCCUCCAACAGACGCAUCCUACAAACAGCAAUCUGUACGGCAUCCUGUGCUCACACGAAACGUGAAACUCAUUUGCCCUAACUUGGGUGACCGCAUUACCCUCAGUAAUAGAAAGAAAUACCUCCAGAGAACAACUCUUCAUUCAAAUUAUUUUUCCAGUGACAGAAGUUGGAACUUUUCAGAUUAAAAGAAGAAUGAUUAGCUUGAGGAAACCAACAGCGAUUUAACAGAAACACUGUAAGGACGUCUACCAAAAUACUGACACCACUGAAAAUUUCUAAAUGUCGAGCUGGUUUUGUUGGGCACUCCGCUGAAUAUCACAACAGGAAUCAAGGAAUGUUCACAAAACGAAACAACAAUCUGCGCUUUGGAGAGCUUUGGUACUAGAACCGGUACUUUUUCAUAUGUGAUGGAUGCAGCAGGGACACGGAAGCAGGACUGCAUGCAAAUAGAAGGUGACUCCGGAUCCAGAUGUCCUCCUGCUUGCCUGGCCUGCCCUUGCCAGCUGCACUAUUGGCGAGAAGUGUUUGCCACCUGAUGUAUCUGUACUGUACUGACAUCUUGCUUUUGAGGAAGAACAUAGCAAACUAUUCCUCUGUUGGCUAGAGGCAUCAGUAAAUGUACUAAACUUUUCCUCCUGACUGGAGUUUGAUUGGGAAAUGACCUAGGUAGCCAAAAGAAAAAGAUUUGCUGUACAAGUGAGAGCACAAGUUUUCAUUAAGUAACUUUCUCCACCUGUUGAGUCCUAAUUGCAAGACUCCUAUACACUAUAUUCUUUAUUUAACUGCCAGUUAAGGCUCAAAUUACAAUCAUUGCUGAUUCCUUCUCACACAAACAAUUGCCCAUAAUGGGUGCCCACGGUGAUCAUAGAAUCGUCUAGGUUGGAAGGGACCUUUAAGAUCAUCGAGUCCAACCAUCAACAUAACACUGCCAAAACCACCACUAAACUAUAUCCCUAAGCACCACAUCUACCCGUCUUUAAAAUUCCUCCAGGGAUGGCCAUUCCACCACUUCCCUGGGCAGGCUGUUGCAAUGCUUCAUAAGCCUUUCAGUGAAGAAAUUUUUCCUAAUAUCCAAUCUAAACCUCCCCUGGCGCAACUUGAGGCCAUUUCCUCUUGUCCUAUUGCCCGUCACUUGGGAGAAGAGAUGGACCCCCACCUCUCUACAGCCUCCUUCCAGGUAGUCGUAGAGAGCGAUAAGGUCUCCUCUCAGCUUCCUUUUCUCCAGGCAAAACAACCCCAGCUCCCUCAGCCACUCCUCAUAAGACUUGUUCUCCAGACCCCUCACCAGCUUUGUUGCACUUCUCUGGACACGCUCCAGCACCUCAAUGUCCUUCUUGCAGUGCGGGGCCCAAAACUGGACACAGUACUCCAGGUGCGGCCUCACCGGUGCUGAGUACAGGGGGACGAUCCCUUCCUUAGUUGUGCUGGCCACACUAUUGCCAAUAGGGGCCAGGAUGCUGUUGGCCACCUUGGCCACCUGGGCACACUGCUGGCUCAUAUUCAGCUAGCUGUCGAUCAACAUGCCCAGGUCCUUUUCUGUGGGGCAGCUUUUCAGCCACCCUUCCCCAAGCCUGUAGCGCUGCCACACUACAAACCUGAUGUCAGAUAGGAUGGCCACAGUCUGCAGUCAGUCCAAAGCUCAGUUUCAGCUCAAAGAGUAAGUCAUAAAAUAAUAAUCUGAUCCCCACCAAAUCGCCAGUUUGGAACCAGGAAGAGUCUCACAAACUAAUGACUGCCAUUAGUCAAAUACAUUUCCUUAAAUAUAACUGAAAAGGACAGUUCAACAUCCAUGAAUGUUGCAUGGCGUUCAAUAAGACAUCAGAAGAUGCUUGAGGGAAUAGAACCAGUUCAUAUAUCUGUCAGCUUUUAUACGUUUACACCGAGAUACUGGCAACCAGUAUAUUUUGUUGGGAGUAUACUUAAACAAUGGAAAACUUAUUUCAGGAAGCAAGUAAAUAAAUGGAUCAGAGACCUGAAUUAGUUAUCUGGGCACAUGAAAUUACUACUACUGCUCCAUUUAGAUUCAUUUAAAGUUAAUAUCUGCCCAAAAAUUGGAGUCAGUUAGUUGGGGCAACUAAUAAUGAGGGGGUUGGGUGGGGUUUCUUUGCGUCUGUCUCAGAUUAUAUAUCCCUUAUCUGUUAAGAACUUUCCAACAUUCUCAUGUUUCAGAGAUAUUGCUUACUUAGCAAAGCUGGUCUCCUGCCUACAUGCUUUUAUUCCUCUGUUUUAUAUAACACAGUAGAACUUCUGAGUUCUACCCUUAAGUGGCGACUGGGGUCAAUGGAAGCUGGAGGAGAAAAUAUUAGAAAUAUAGGACAAAUUAGAUGCUGACGUUGUGGUUAGCUUCUGAUAUCCAUUGGCUUCUAUCUGAAGACAGAUGGAUGUCUCAGGUUUUGCCAGCUAGUGACGCCUUCCAGAGAAACAAUAGUUUCAUUGUCUCUCUAUUGAUCUGCACUAUGUGGUUUUUAAACACUAGCAUUCUGAAUGACCUAAAAAAAACCCUAUGGCAGAGGGAAGUUGGAAUAGAGAAAUGCUGGCACAAGAGGAGGGAAUGGAAGUAGUUUGUGUGGGAGUGAGGAUAAGAAAGAAGAACCUGGAAUGCAUGCAGAAACCUUGGCAAGGGAAAAAAAAAGGAUACUGGGCUGGGAUUCUAGGAAAAGGGAAGCGAGUUCAUGACAGGGAAGUGAACAGAAAGAGGCAGGAGAUUUCAGUAAAUCUUAAAAUGGGAUGGGAAUGGAAAAUGGCAUGCUGGGACCUCAGGAAGUCUCUAAUAAAUGCAAUGCAAUGCUCAGCACCUUCAACAACUGCAAAGUGAAUGGCAGAACCCCUUUGAUGGCAGGUUUCAAAAACUCAGAAUUUAUGGUCAUAAGUAUUAUCAGUGAGUAUCUACAGGGAGAAACUGAAAGAUAUUUUACAAAUUCUAAGUAGGUUGCCUUUCUUUUGAAGGGAAGGAAAGAAAGUUCUGAUCUUUUAUUAGUAAACAACAAACAAUUUUAAAAUUUGCCUAAAGUUUACCUUUCCAAUCAACUGUAACACCUGUGCAGUAUAGCAAUUAGAUGAAGCAUUGGGUUUUCCCUCUGUCUUUUUGUUUUUAUGAUUCCUUGUAUGUAUCGCUUAUUCAGACAGAAUCUCACCCUGCAGUGGGAAUAAAUCCAGGAAAUGACAGCGACCAGAAGGAGUUUUUGUGAGGUUCCUUCUGAGAGCAUUCCCCCACAUGACUCUGUUGAGGUAUGUGAUUAAUAUUAAACUGUAGAUCAUAUUUCCGUGCUUUUCCAGAUGCUAAUUUGGGAUUCUCCCCUGGGGUACCUGUGUCUGGUUAGCUAAGUAUGGAGACAGAUGAACUCUUUGCUGUGUGAACCUAUGCAGCCAGGUCAAGGAGCACAAUUAGAAGACAACCUGCCUAUCCUAAAAUAUCAUCCUAAC
Long non-coding RNA from Chroicocephalus ridibundus (black-headed gull), 4093 nucleotides. RefSeq lists it as uncharacterized. The transcript is spliced from 6 exons. The record is from RefSeq and is a predicted model, not a curated record. Lineage: Eukaryota; Metazoa; Chordata; Aves; Charadriiformes; Laridae.